This 81-nucleotide transfer RNA is filed under the name Clostridia bacterium. Its description in RNAcentral is "tRNA-Leu". It matches the Rfam family "tRNA". From Rfam's summary of the family: Transfer RNA (tRNA) molecules are approximately 80 nucleotides in length. Their secondary structure includes four short double-helical elements and three loops (D, anti-codon, and T loops). Lineage: Bacteria; Bacillati; Bacillota; Clostridia. The record is from RNAcentral.
AGCCCCUUAGAUGAAUUGGUAUAGUCACCUGACUUAGGAUCAGGCCUUAAUUGGGUGUGGGUUCGAGUCCCACAGGGGCUA